RNAcentral lists this long non-coding RNA (6246 nucleotides) under Sus scrofa (pig). RNAcentral's name for it is "lncRNA (ENSSSCG00065056351.1)". Lineage: Eukaryota; Metazoa; Chordata; Mammalia; Artiodactyla; Suidae. The record is from RNAcentral.
GGUCACGAGUACUAACAGCUCCCUUCUCCCUUCCUGCAGCCUCGUCCUCGCACAGACACCCCUUUGGAGGGGCUCCCAAGUUUGCAGGCAGACAACACCUCAGGAGAGGAUUCAAGGAGCAAGGGUUUUAUGCCCAGAAACAUCCCACUUCAUCUCUUCAUGCACUUCCAUAGCAAAAGACAAAUGUGGAUGAGUAAAAACGGCCACGCAGAGGAAGAAUAAUGUCCGAAUAGACUACAAGAUAAAGGGAGCCCAAGAUGCUCUGCAGAAUCCAUCGGAAGCACCAAACGGAGCCACGAGACAGUAGCAGCCGACAAAACCCACCUGUAGAAACUGUGUUGGGACCUUCAUUAAUCAUCUAUCAGAGGUGCCAAAUAAGUACACAGUCAAGCACAACCGCUUCCACAAACAGGACUGUCGGGAACAGGCAGGGGACACCGCACCUACUCUGAGCGGUGCCCAGGAUGGAGUGGUUUUCUAAUCACAGACUAUGACGGUAAAUGAAGUUUUUUGUACCUCUAAAGUCUCACUCUGCUUCGCCUGGAAACAGCAUCUGAGGAAAGUUCACCUAAGCUAUCUUGGAACCCAUGGAGUUCCUGGAGCCGGCAAUCAGAUCCGAGGCCAAUCUGUGCAGGGAAUUCCAUCACUGAACUCUGCUUUGCAGAAAACCACUGGCAGCUGGGACUUAUACCUACGAUAAGUUCCCGUGAAGGCCUGAUCUCCCAUCAUGAUAAUGACUCCUCCUAGAUAACAGACACUCUCAUUCUGGAAAGUCGCACCCGUGCCAAAGCUGAAAUUCCUUACCACCCAUGAUUCGCCACAAUUCGCCAGUCUCCCAUUUCAUCGCAAGGCCUUUGCUUCCCUUUCUCAUCUUUUCCAAUAAACCUCCCACUCUAAUUCUCUCAUUUUCCUUCCCUGACUCUCCAACUUCUCAUUAUUCUUUACUAUCAUGAUAUUGCCAUCUUUUUAUUCCAUUGUUCUGUCCAACGCAUGCCUUUGAGGGUCGCCGAUACCAACCCACGGAGCAUAUGAAAAUAUCAAACUACUUCAUAAAUCAUCUUGAGAAGAAAUCUUAUACUGGCUAUUAAAACUAUAUUUGUGGGAGUUCCCAUUGGGGCUCAGCGGAAACAAAUCUGACUGGUAUCCAUGAGGACACAAGUUUGAUCCCUGGCCUCUAACUUAAGGAUGAGGGCAUUGCCGUGAGCUGUGGUGUAAGUCAUAGACACGACUGGCAUUGCUAUGGCUGUGGUGUAGGACAGCACCUGCAGCUCUGAUUUGACCCCUAGCCUGGGAAUCUCCACAUGCCACAGGUGUGGCCCUAAAAAGACAAAAAAAAAAUUAUAUUUGUGUAUCUACAGAAUAUAUAAUUUCCUCUACCAUAUAUAUAUAAGUAUGCGAUGUGAUACACCAGCAGCUUCUUUCUUGACAGAGAAGGAAACUAAGGAUCAGAGUAGUAAAAUGUAAAAUAAUGUGUCUUGGAGUUCCCAUCAUGGCACAGCGGAAACGAACCCGACUAGGAACCAUGAGGUUGAGGGUUCGAUCCCUGGCCUUGAUCAGUGGGUUAACAUCUGGUGUUGCCAUGAGCUGUGAUGUAGGUUGUAGAUGCGGCUUGGAUCUGGCGUGGCUGUGGUGUAGGCCAGCAGCAACAGCUCUGAUUAGACCCCUAGCCUGAGGACCUCCAUAUGCUGUGGGUGUGGCCCGAAAAAGACGAAAAAGACAAAAAAUAAAAAAUAAAAUAAUGUGCCUAAAUGAUCAUACAGGAAAUAGCAAAGCCAGAAUUUGUUUCUGAAAUGUCCUAUGCCGUCUCUAUCAUAGCAAAGUGUCCUGUAGAUGAUUGUGCUGAACAGCAAAACUAAAAACUGCCUCUCUGUCAACCACCAAACACACUCACCUGCAGGACAAGCUACAUAACUUUCAAGGCUUAGUGCUAAACAAAUGGAGGGCCCUUACCCGAAAAUGCAGAAUUACAAGGCAGCACCAUCUGAGCCUCGAAUGAAGUUCAAGGACCUUUUAAGCAAGUGGCCCUGCGCCCACAUUAUCUACUUGGGAAUCCGCUCUUUUCCUCCUGUGGGAUGUCACUCGGCCACGCACGCUUCACCUCCCCUCAGAGGUGUUCCGUGUCCUGAUGUCAGUGUGUGGUGUGCACGAACUUUCUACAUCUCCUCCUAUUCGGUUCAGCACACAGCUCUGCUAACUGGAUCUGGUUUCCUAUCUUGUUUGCCUCAGGAUUCCCCAUACAUUUUCCCUCUUUCUUCAAAUAACCAAGUAUCCGAGGGGCCCCCAGCACCUCAAGGAAGUAAAUGCAUCACCUUUGCUGUAUUUUAUGUAAGUGAACUAGGCCUGUCCAGCUCUGGGGCUGCUCUACAAGCUCUACUCUGUGCACAUGGAUCCACAUACGACUGCAUUAAAAUGCAAACAGCGGUUUAUCCCAAAUUCCUGGUAAUUCUAUGGAGCAUAUCUUUCAAUCACUUAACUCUAGAUUUAAUAAUAGCUUUUGGGGGGAAGAAAACACUUUAUUUUUUGGUUUCGGGAAUGAGUAAUUGUAUACUUUUUAAUCAUAUGAUUAUCUACUAUUUUUACCUUUUACCAUAACAGUAAAAGUUUAAAAUUAAGACAUUUUAACAGUUUAGAACCUAAGCAUUCCAGUGACUCACCAUGUGGCUCAGUGAUUUUGCACUGCAUAAUUUGGCAAGCAGCUUUUCAUUAAAGUGCACGCAUGCUAUUGGAAUAGUUUAGCUGCUUUAGAAUUGACUAUGUAAUUGUGAGGCAUAAAAAUACAAACAGGGUUUUUCCUACCUGGCUAAAUUUAUAGUCCCAGGCUUUUAUUCUUCAAUUAAUUUACAUUGCUGCAAUUUAUAAAUCUAUCAAUAAAUAGCAUCAUUUUCUCUGCCUGAGUUCUGACUCAAGAUAACAGCAAAAAAUUAAUGCAACACAAAAUAACCCCUUGGCCAGGCUGGAGCACGUGACAUAGCAUUCGGAUAAAGUGACCCUCCCGAGUCCUAGAUUCGUGCAGACGGCUGACACAUCUCCGGGGGAGGCCCGUCAUGGAGUGCCAGUUAUCUAAUGCUCUGUCAGAGUAUUAUCCCAAAACUUUGUAAAGUGAAACAAUCAAUUAGUAUGGACACAGGAGACAGGUUUCGGUUCUUUUAAUUCCAUAGAUCUAUCCUAUCCAUCCAGGGUUGCAGCCUAUACUCCCAUCACCUGGGAAAUGAGAUUAACAUCAGUUUCUUGCAAAGUCUUGUACCAACACUGUACCUAGUUCUCUAACGGCAAUCACUUUUUCUUUGGGAAUACUCGAGGGAUUAAUGAUGGACAGAUCAAAUUUUCCACUGGAAGUCUCUGAAAUAAGUCAGCAUAGAGGUUUGUUUUUUUUGUUUUUUUUUUUUAAGAAAAGACAAAAAUUGCAGCAACUCUAUUUUAUUACUUAUCCACAUUUUGAUAUUCCCUAUAGUUAAAUAUAAGCUAGCAUACAUUUUGCAAAGAGAUCAAAUGGCAAGAUAAAAUUUCUUCAAUAAUAAAGAAGCGCUUGAUAGAGAUGGUCAGAAUUUACAUAUAAGCCCUAUACUACACAGCUACCAUAAUCAAAACAGUAUGAUACCGGCACAAAAACAGAAACAGAUCAAGGAAACAUGAUAGAAGGCCCAGAAAUAAGCCUACACACCUAUGGUCAGUUAAUCUGUGACAAGAGAGGCAAGACUAUACAAUGGAGAAAAGAGAGUCUCUUUUCAGUAAGCGACAGGGAAAAUUAGACAGUUACAUGUAAAAGGAUGAAAUUAGAAUAUUCUCUAACACCAUACACAAAAAUAAACUCAAAAUGUACUAAAGACAUACAUAAAGAUGGAUACCAUAAAACUCUUAGAGGAAAAAUAGGCAGAACACUCUUUGACAUAAAUGGCAGCAGUAUCUUUGGGGAUCCACCUCCUAGAAAAAUGAAAAUAAAAACAAAAAUAAACAAAUGGGACCUAAUUAAACUUAAAAGCUUUUUCACAGCAAAGGAAACCAUUAAUAAAAUGAAAAGAUGAGCUACAGAAUGGGAGAAAAUAUUUGCAUGUGAUGUGACUGACAAUGGAUUAAUAUCCAAAAUACACAAACAGCUCAUAUAGCUCAAUGUCAGAAUAAACAAACAACCCAACUUUAAAAAAUGGGCAGAAAAUCUAAAUAGACAUUUCUCCAAAAAUAGACAGAUGGCCAAAAAAGCACAUGAAAAGAUACUCAACAUUACUAAUUAUCAGAGAGAUGCAAACCAAAACUACAAUGUGAUAUAAUCUCAGACCAGCUAGAAUGGUCAUCAUCAAAAAGUCUACAAAUAAUAAAUGCUAGGAAGGGUGUGGUACAAAAGGAACUCUUCUGCACUGUUGUUGGGAAUGUAAUUUGGCACAGCCACUAUGGAGAACAGUAUGUGGAUUACAUAAAAACUGAAUAUAGGACUACCACUAGUAUAUAUGUGACCCAGCAAUCCCACUCCUGGGCAUCUAUCUGGAGAGAACCCUAACUCAAAAAGAUACAUGGACCCCAAUGUUCACUGCACCACUAUUCAUAAUAGUCAAGGCAUGGAAGCAACUAAAUGUCCAUCAAGAAAUGAAGGGAUAAAGAAGAUGCAGUACACAUAUGUGAUGGAAUAUUACUCAGCCAUAAAAAAGAAUGAAAUAACACCAUUUGCAGCAACAUGGAUGGACCUAGAGCUUAUCAUACUAAGUGAAGUCAAGGACAAAUGUACAUCACUUAAUAUGUGAAAUCUAAUGAAACGAUACAAAUGAGUUAUUUAUAAAGUGGAAACAAAUUCACAGACAUAGAAAAACCAAAGUGGACAGGUCUGAGGGAGGGAUAAAUCAGGAAUUUGGGAGUAACAUAUACACAUUACUGUAUAUAAAAUAAGCAAGGACCUGCUGAAUAGCACAGGGAACUAUACUCAGUAUUUUAUAACAACAUACAUGGGUAAAGAAUCUGAAAAAGAUCACACACACACACACAUAUGUAUCAGUGAAUCACUUUGCUGUAUACCUAAAACUAACACAACAUUGUCAAUCAACUAUACAUCAAUUUUAAAAAAGCUUUUUUAUUAAAAAGUCUCCUAUAAGCUUACUCCCAUCAUCGAAUUCCCUUCUCUCUAACACUCACAACCUUGUCUGAGCCCUUACUCUCUCCUAGAGGCAGAGAAAGAAAAAGUCACAAAUCAGACGUCUUUAUAUGGUGGAGGCUAAAAUAAUUAGCAACAUCAAAAUCUCUUUCACCCAUGGGUUAAACGUCCAAGGAAAUAAAAGCCAGAAAUAUCCUCUUCCAUUUCACACUGGAUUCUGUCUUAGCCAGAAGAUUCUCAAAUGUUUGUGUGGGCUCGUUAGGCUCUCACUGGAAUAAGAUUUAUUAUGAAAGUUUUAUGGCCUCACAAAUUGAAUUAAUUUCAUGUCAUGUUUCUGAUGUACCUCACUUCUAAAGAACACUUAAAAUGACAGCAUUUGCAAAAUUAAUAUAGAAUUAGUCCCAUAUUCGACCAAUUUAAAAGCGAGCCAACUCUUUUCCCAAAAGCAGUUCCUCAGGCUAAAACGCGAUCCUAUGACCGGGAUCUAGUGCUGCCAAAGCCCAGGGGAGAAACGCGGCGGUUUCUGAGAGCAAGAGGCUUAGGAGCAUCAGGCAGCAGCCCAGUCCGCGCGCCACGAUGGUUUCCCACGACGAUGCUCGCGAAGGCCAAUGUGAGUGGGAGAAAGAGCCUAGCGGGAUUUUAAUUUUGCCAAAACGCAGUAACCAUCUCUGGGAGGAAAACACCUAAUGUGACAUAAUGUCUUCUAAGUGCCUCAGUGUUGCUGACUUCUUGCAAAGCUUAAAAAUAUAAAAUAAUAGCAGCCCUUGUCACCAGGUCUUAUUAGAUAAGUGAAAAACAAAAACAAAACAAAACAAAAAAAUGCAGUUCCUGUGUCACUACACAACUUGAAAAGGUUUAUACAGAUGGACUCUAAGAGUGAUUUUUAGGUGCUUAGUGUGGGAAUCGCUAUGUCACAUGCAAGGGCUGCUGAUUCACAGAUGGAGAGCCAAGUUAUGACCACAGGAGAGACUGUCUCCAUGAACCGCCUACACACAUACUUCCAGUAAAUAAUGUAAUUGUUUAUUUUCCUUGUUGUGUGUCUGUUCAGAUUAGAUUUAUUGGCGCACAUAUAUAUUUUUGAUUUGUUGAACAGAAUCAAAAUAUUGAGUCUUGUAUCUUAUAUGAAUUGUCAUUCAAUUUUUUAAAAAUAGUUUAAUGUGUGUAUUUUA